AACACAGAUUUUAAAAGUACACAUUUUUCUGG
Molecule: non-coding RNA, 32 nt
Filed under: Mus musculus (house mouse)
Lineage: Eukaryota; Metazoa; Chordata; Mammalia; Rodentia; Muridae
Source: RNAcentral